This 639-nucleotide ribosomal RNA is filed under the name Spathularia flavida. RNAcentral describes it as "LSU rRNA". It matches the Rfam family "Eukaryotic large subunit ribosomal RNA", at positions 1 to 635 of the family's 3401-position model. Lineage: Eukaryota; Fungi; Ascomycota; Leotiomycetes; Rhytismatales; Cudoniaceae. The record is from RNAcentral.
GACUCGCUUGGCACCUUACGAGAAAUCAAAGUCUUUGGGUUCUNNNNGAACUUAAGCAUAUCAAUAAGCGGAGGAAAAGAAACCAACAGGGAUUGCCUCAGUAACGGCGAGUGAAGCGGCAACAGCUCAAAUUUGAAAGCUGGCCCUUUCAGGGUCCGCGUUGUAAUUUGUAGAGGAUGCUUCGGGCGCGGCGCUGGUCUAAGUUCUUUGGAACAAGACGUCAUAGAGGGUGAGAAUCCCGUAUGUGACUAGCUGCCUGUGCCUGUGUGAAGCUCCUUCGACGAGUCGAGUUGUUUGGGAAUGCAGCUCAAAAUGGGUGGUGUACUUCAUCUAAAGCUAAAUAUUGGCCAGAGACCGAUAGCGCACAAGUAGAGUGAUCGAAAGAUGAAAAGCACUUUGGAAAGAGAGUUAAACAGUACGUGAAAUUGUUGAAAGGGAAGCGCUUGCAAUCAGACUUGCGCGGCGUCGAUCAGCCUGGGUUCUCCCUGGUGCACUCGGCGCUGCUCAGGCCAGCAUCAGUUUCAGCGGUUGGAUAAAGGCCUAGGGAACGUGGGUUACUUCGGUGACUGUUAUAGCCCUAGGUGCAAUGCAGCCUGUUGGGACUGAGGACCGCGCUUCGGCUUAGGAUGCUGGCGUAAU